This is a long non-coding RNA of Benincasa hispida (wax gourd), 842 nucleotides long. RefSeq lists it as uncharacterized. The record is from RefSeq and is a predicted model, not a curated record. NCBI's taxonomy places the organism in Eukaryota, Viridiplantae, Streptophyta, Magnoliopsida, Cucurbitales, Cucurbitaceae.
AUGCUACGCUUGGAAGUGUUAUACUUUAUUUCACAAAAUUCAUUUUAUUUAAUUAAAUAAAACCCCGAAAUAUAGCAAUAGAAAAAAAGAAAAAGAAAAAAAAAGAAAGUAAAAUUUAGCGAAUAAAAUCGAAAACUAUCCGAACAAACGGUGAAAUUUAAGCCUUUCAAUUUUCUUCUACUUUUUCGUCCGUCUCAUACCCCGGCGGAGGAAUUCCCAUUCCGUCGCAAUAUUCACCCACCGCACCGCUAAUCUCCGGCGAGAACGCUCCGCCAGACGAAAAAAUCACGGCGGCGCAUUUCUCCGGUAAUCCAUAUACAAUCACCCUACAACAAUUAUAACUCACCUCGACCACAUUACUCUUCAUGGCCAUGUCGAUCUCGUCAUGGCAUCCUUCCACCAGGUUGAUCGCGUCCCAACAAGCCACCGCCGACCAAUUGGCUGAAUAAAUCGGCUCCGAGAUCUUUUUAACAGCGAAAGCCGAUUGAAUCGUCGAUGAAAUUGCUAGGGCACAGAGGAAGAAUCCGAAAAAAUGAACCGAUUUCGACAUCAUGAGAUUCGGAACAGAUUGAAAAAUCGAUCCAACCGAUCUAAACCAUCAAGUUGGGCAGACAGUAAUUAGUGAAGUUUGGUCGGAGUCGGUUUGGCAUUAUUUGAACCGACUUCCAUGUCGUUCAGCGAUGAUGGCCGGUCGGGUAUCAACCCAUUGUGAUCCAACUGAAAAGAUAGGUGAAGACCAAUUGUCUCAGUCUAAGAUGGAUAUUUAUUUGUUGGAAGCCAAUGUUAAAAGUGAAUGUGAUUUUAACAUACCUCAAUAGUGGAAGAUAAACCGUCAUUAUUUA